GCCAGCAUGGCAUAGUGGUUUGAGCGUUAGACUAGGACUCUGGAGACCAGGGUUCAAAUUCCGACCCGGCC
Molecule: non-coding RNA, 71 nt
Organism: Phrynosoma platyrhinos (Desert horned lizard)
Lineage: Eukaryota; Metazoa; Chordata; Lepidosauria; Squamata; Phrynosomatidae
Source: the annotation of a GenBank genome assembly